AACGCGAAGGACCUUACCAGCUCUUGACAUUCGGGGUAUGGGCAUUGGAGACGAUGUCCUUCAGUUAGGCUGGCCCCAGAACAGGUCAUGCAUGGCUGUCGUCAGCUUGUGUCGUGAGAUGUUGGGUUAAGUCCCGCAACGAGCGCAACCCUCGCCCUUAGUUGCCAGCAUUUAGUUGGGCACUAUAAGGGGACUGCCGGUGAUAAGCCGAGAGGAAGGUGGGGAUGACGUCAAGUCCUCAUGGCCCUUACGGGCUGGGCUACACACGUGCUACAAUGGUGGUGACAGUGGGCAGCGAGACAGCGAUGUCGAGCUAAUCUCCAAAAGCCAUCUCAGUUCGGAUUGCACUCUGCAACUCGAGUCCAGAAGUGGAAUCGCUAGUAAUCGCAGAUCAGC
Molecule: ribosomal RNA, 396 nt
Filed under: Agrobacterium sp. UR24
Lineage: Bacteria; Pseudomonadati; Pseudomonadota; Alphaproteobacteria; Hyphomicrobiales; Rhizobiaceae
Description: bacterial SSU rRNA
Rfam family: Bacterial small subunit ribosomal RNA
Source: RNAcentral